GGGCCUUUAGCUCAGUUGGCUAGAGCGCCUCCAUGGCAUGGAGGAGGUCAAGGGUUCAAGUCCCUUAAGGUCCA
RNAcentral lists this transfer RNA (74 nucleotides) under Candidatus Falkowbacteria bacterium CG10_big_fil_rev_8_21_14_0_10_43_10. RNAcentral's name for it is "tRNA-Ala". It matches the Rfam family "tRNA". Rfam says of the family: Transfer RNA (tRNA) molecules are approximately 80 nucleotides in length. Lineage: Bacteria; Candidatus Falkowiibacteriota. The record is from RNAcentral.